AACGCGGCUUGUUAUGUUACCAAGAGACCGCAAAAAGUGCGAAGUCCUCUGUCCUGAAGAUGUCGGAAAACUUAGCUCCAACUUUAACUCUGAAAGUGCUGACACUGGAGACUCCUCCCAUAAACGUUCGAUAAACAUCUCCUUACAGAAAACUGCACCGACCCGAUUAUCCGUGUCUCUAUAAUAAAUAACGAGCGACUUAACGGUAAAGAACAGAAAACCUGUUAAACCUCAAACUCUGCGGAACUCAAUCCACGUGUUCAAACGUUUCAAAUAUGCGACUCUUUAACGCAAGUUUAAACCCCCCGCUCUUCCGCGUGAGUAAUAAAGGUGUUCAGACGAGACGUAUACGAGAGAAAUGAUCCCGAAACUGUUCCAAUGGACUUUCAUGCACAUUUCUAACACCGGAGCGAUUCGCUAAAAAGUAGUUCCGGUUAACUUUUCAGAAGAUUUUGUCGUAUCCCUACACCGUCAGAGACUCAUAACUGCGCAGGUAGCGUUGACAUCACCGCACAGGCUUCUCAAUUCUACAGAUUUAGAGUCACAUUUACAAGGACGUAUUGACAGAGUUCCUUCGACUUCCGUUAGAAGCGGAUUUGUCGUAGGAAUACGAUUAGGAAGAGUUACACUAGGUGAAGUAUUUGGUUCGAGGUCGAGUAUACGGUAUGUGUGACGAUUGCACGUCCGAUCACUCCGGCUCAAUUGGAAAGGUGUACGUAAUGCUUACACACGUACACGUAUAGUCUUCCUUCCUCUUCACUUCCUGUUUUUUUUUUUUUAAUCUUUCUUUUACCCUCUCCGUAUCUGUGGCACAUUCUCAGUCUGCUAACACAACACCCGCUGCCUUUUGAAGCACGAACGCGUCCGUGUCUCGAGGGAGCCUCGUGUUGCCGUCUCCUUUAUGUUCGUACUAAUUGCCUUAAUUUAUUGACUAGUUAAGGUUUAUGAAACAAUUAAUUGAUUUCCCCGUACUCAUUAUUCAGUCCUUAGACGCUAAAUCUGCCGUGGAUCUAUUCAACAGACACGUUAAUGAUGUGUCGAGUCAACUGUGCGAAACGCAAAUCACAGAUAAAAUCAUUUCUGUGUAUAAAAUAAAUAAAUAAAUAAAUAAAUAAAACGUUUUAUGGUUUGUUUGGGUUUUUUUUUUUUACUACGGGAUAUAAAUACUCAUCCGCGAUAUCUAAUAGUCAGUAAUAUAGGAGCGCUGGUUAUUAUUAACAUGCGUUCUAUGGCACAGCGUCAGUGAGAUAUACGGAGUCGAAUUAUGUGCGUGUGUGCGUACGUAGUCUCUUAGGCCACACUGCUCUCUUUUAGUCUUCAGAAUUCAUACGUUGACCAAUCAGAGGUUACUUCCCAGUCUUGUAUCAAUUCACUAUGUUAUGUCCAGACGUGAAUUCUUCACAAAGCGCGCUACGAAGCAGGACUACUCCCAGAGCUGGAUCGAUACAGGCCUCCCAUGGGCUCUCUGGCGUGACUCCUCUGCCCCCCCCAACACACACACACAUACACAAACACACACUCUCGUCUCAGCCACGUGAUGGCAAGAGUGGCAGGCCAGGCCUGAUCUCCCCGAUCAAGAGAUCUAUUGUUUACCGCCGUUGUGCUCGGCAACUCCAGUUUCACGUAGCCAUCGUAUCCGAAUGCUUCCUUGGUUGGGAAUUUGUCCCAAAUAUCCAAACACACCUAGAGGACUCCGUGCGAGUAAAUUCCUCCAGAGGUCUCGUUGUGUCCACCGGUUUCAUAGCGAUAUCCACAUUUUUUUUUUUUGAUCCAUUGUGAUCCAUGGUAAAUUGUACAAAAUCCCACGUCGAUGUAUCCUCAACACAAUAGUCCUAAUUUUCGAACGUGUCCAAAUUCCGUUACGAAUUAAGUCCCUUUCAGGGCCUUCUCGUCCGCAAGCCGUCGUCGUCUGACAUUUUUCCAGAACGAGGCUGUGUCUCAACCAACCGUAGGCAUUUUCCUGGAGAGAAUAGAUUAUAAUUAUAAUUACAAAGCA
Ictalurus punctatus (channel catfish) is the source of this 1996-nucleotide long non-coding RNA. NCBI's taxonomy places the organism in Eukaryota, Metazoa, Chordata, Actinopteri, Siluriformes, Ictaluridae. The record is from Ensembl.